RNAcentral lists this long non-coding RNA (3189 nucleotides) under Sus scrofa (pig). RNAcentral's name for it is "lncRNA (ENSSSCG00060049526.1)". Lineage: Eukaryota; Metazoa; Chordata; Mammalia; Artiodactyla; Suidae. The record is from RNAcentral.
UUUUUUUUUUUUUUUUUUUGCUUUUUAGGACUGCACCCAAGGCAUAUGGAGGUUCCCAGGCUAGGGGUCCAAUUGGAGCUAUAGCCACUGGCCUACACCAGAGCCACAGCAACGCGGGAUCCAAGCUGCAUCUGCGACCCACACCACAGCUCAUGGCAACGCUGGAUCCUUAACCCACUGAGCAAGGCCAGGGAUCGAACCCACAACCUCUUCGUUAACCACUGCGCCACGACAGGAAUUCCCCAAUGAUGAUGUUUUGAUCGAUGUUUUUCAUUCCUCUUCUCUGUGACAUCCCGCCACCCCACCCCCACCCUCACCCCAUAGAAUGGAGGCGCCUGUCCUCUCUUCAUUGCCCUCCCCACCCCCAUCCCCCGCCAGGGAGCUCUGCAAGGGAGCAAAGUGUGUAUGAAGGAGGGAGGGAGGGACAGGUUAGUUUCCUGGGCCUGAAACUAAAUGACAGUGUGUGAAACUAAAGCUGGAUUUUGCUGAUCUGUUGGCUCUUACCCAUGUGCACUCUCCACCCCAGCUUUUUUUAAAAAUUUUUUAAUUUUUGUCUUUCUUUUUAGAGCCACACCUAGGGCACAUGGAGGCUCCCAGGCUAGGAAUCCAGUUGGAGCUGUAGCUGCCGGCCUACACCACAGUCACAGCAAUGCAAGAUCUGAGCCACGUCUGUGACCUCCACCACAGCUUACAGCAGUGCUGGAUCCUUGACCCACUGAGCAAGGCCAGGGAUGGAACCCGCAACCUCAUGGGUCCUAGUCAGAUUUGUUUCCACUAUGCUAUGAUGGGAACUCCCCACCCACGCCAACCUUUUAAAAUGUCCAGGCAGGCAAGGUCCUCUCACAGGUGCUUGUGUAUCAGCCCAAGUAGCUACUAAUCCACCUGUGCCACCUUGGCCCGCCCAGGUUCCCCCGUGAUGAAGGGAGCAUCUCUCCUGCUCCAUGGGUGCCCAAAGCUGGGGACAGAUCAAAAGACCCAGGGUUUCUUGGGUCUUGUGUGAACAUAGGGUUUGAUAGGAUGGCAGAUCACAGCCACCAGGCUGAGUACAAAACCCACUUCCCUUCUGCUCUAAUUCUCAACCAGCCCUGAUCCCCCUGGUAGUUUUUCCCCACCUCUAAGUCUCCAGCCCACUGUUCCUUCCUGAUUUUGCUAGACAAAAUCUUUUUUGCUCGUGUGCCUCUAAACCCCAUGUGCAAGCAGAGCUCAGGUCUGUCCUCUGCAUCCAGUCUCCUGCCAGGACCUCCUGGGAUGGAUCGGUGGGUACCAGCAUAUGGAGAAGGUGGCAGUCACUGGCCAGGUGGAUCUCAGCUCAGUUCCACCCGGACGGGCUGCUCCACCACAGGAGGCCAUGGGAGUCACUGAGAGAUGGAAAUGGUUGAUGGCUUUCUUCUCCUGGUAGAAGUUUGUGUUAGAUUUGUUUCUAAUGAUGAAGUUGCACUUAAGUCAUUUUGCAGGUGGGGAGGGCAGGGAGUUGAAUUCAUUCAGAUCAAACUUAACUGGUUUGCAUGAUACCUGUUAGAUUAUCUUUUAAACCCCUCUUUCACCUGAUCUCUGUAUGUGAAAUAGUGAAAUGCUUUCGUAUUUAUCUCCCCGUACCAAGAGAGGUAUGGAUAUGUGGAGAGAUUAAUUUAUUAAAGGGCAAGUGAAGUUAUAGCCCCUUCCCUUUUUUGUUUUUUUAUUUUUAUUUUUAAUCAUUUUGCCAUGUCCACGGCAUGCAGAAGUUCCCGGGCCUGGGAUUGAAUCCCAGCCCCAGCAGUGAAAACGCCCAAUCUUUAACUUCUAGGCCACCAGCCCCUUCAUUUUUUAAAAUAUUACUUUCAACUCUAAUAACUGUUUCUAAAAUUUGACUCUAAGCAUCAGUGAAAUUGGGGACCACGACUGCUUACUCCCGUCAUCCUUUUAGCACCUGGCACCGAGGCACUUAGUGCUGCCGUAAUGCACAAAUAAAGAAUUUAUUGCAGGAUCUGCCACAUUGGAGCUGUCUGCUGGAGGAUGUAUUAUGUAAGAAGCUCGUGUGAAGCUUUAAAAUUGUAUCAGAUGAAGUAGGUGAAGUCCCUAGAGGAGGUGAAUCAGUGGGAGGAGGCUGUGAUGGUUUAUUUCUGUUCCCGCCUGGUACAGGCCCAGGAGGGUCUGCUGGCUGAUCCAAUGUAAAGCCUACAUGGCAGGCUGGGGGGCUGAUGGGCCCACAGCAGACCCAUGGGUUGGAGGCAUGGAGGAAGCCCAGCGGCAGCAGGCCUGGUUUGGCCCCAGGGCUGUGCGUGGGAUGAAAGUUGCAGGCCUCAUGGGCUCGGUAAAGUGGACUGGCCAUGUCCAUUUGGCAUUUAUUACAGCCACAGGGCUGGUUCACGACUCCAGGCGGGGGACAGGGGACUCUCUGCUGAAUUUCUCCUGGCUGCUUCUGUAUGGGCAUUAGCUUGGUUCUUUCCAGACUCUGAUGCAGCCCUAGCAGUUCCCAUGUUUACAUGUUAUAGGCGUGGCCACAGUGGGGGACGGUCCUGAUCCCCGGCCUGGCCCAAAUACUGCAUUGCUGAGCAACAUGAAAUAAUAGUUCCAUCAGCCACAGCCAGGCCUGGGGAUGAAGUCAGAGCCACACAGGACUCCCCAGGGCCCACCUGGUGGCGAUGAGUAAAUAGUCCUAGGGAAGAAAUUUAAUUAGGAAUCCAGUUUACACAGAAAAAUGUCUUUGGUGUUUAAAAUAAUUAAUAUUUUUACAAGUUGCUUUCAGGUUUUCAUUUGACCUGUGGGGGUGCAGGACAGUAGUGGAGCUACAGAAAGAUUAGGCUAGAUAUGUGGGUCCAGAAAAUAGCAAAAUGCGGUGUUGAGAAGAAGUGGGCAUCCGCCAGUUACUCACACUUGAUCUUAUCUUUUUCCAAAGCCUCGGUUUACAGCUCCAAGACGUGGGGGUGAUGAUUCGUGCUUGUCUGUAUCAUAAGAUUCUGCUGAAGAUUAGGUGGGUGGUUUGCCCCAGCCUCUCCUCUCAUUCCUUAGGCUGUCCCUAGGUGUCUUAAUUUCUCAGGUGCAGAAUCAGGUGUUUCUCCAUCAAACAACCGAAACUAUCCAGAAAUCUGAUCUCCCACCUUGUUGCACUGGCUUAUUUUUUGGCAGUUUCUCCCUUCUCCUCACUUCAUUUCUGCUUCUCUUGUCUUGGUUUAGGCCAUCAUCUUCUGUUGCCGGAUGCUUUUGUAGCCA